CAUCGAGGAUGGCCUCGAUAAGGCAGUAAGGGUUGCUAUCCCUUACACCCCGGGUUUAAUUCCCGGGCAUACUCG
This 75-nucleotide transfer RNA is filed under the name Dasyscopelus asper (prickly lanternfish). RNAcentral's name for it is "Myctophum asperum (prickly lanternfish) tRNA-Ser (AGY)". The record is from RNAcentral. Lineage: Eukaryota; Metazoa; Chordata; Actinopteri; Myctophiformes; Myctophidae.